UUCUAAAAUGGCUUUCACACCAGUCAAUUUGAAAUUUUUGAUUAAUAUACUUUUGUAUUUGAGCACCUACAGUUGACUAAAAUAUAUUUGCUUUAUGAAUGUGGAUAGAUGAUGUGCUUCCGAGCUUGGAAGAACAGGGAGUCCGUCAGUUGUAUCCUAAAAGACCUAAUAUUGAUUUCAAGAACGAACUGAGAACGCUUAACAGAGAACUCCAGCUACAUAUUUUGGAGCUUGCUGAUGUUCUUAUAGAGCGGCCAUCACAAUAUGCAAGGAGGGUAGAAGACAUAUCUCUUAUAUUCAAGAACUUACACCACCUUCUCAAUUCAUUGCGUCCCCACCAACUAGAAUUUUCCUAAUUACUAUCUCUAGUUCUUGGUCUUUUUUAGAGAAUUCAGCUAAAUAUGUAGUUUUAAUUCAUUUUCUGUCCCUCGCAUUUAACUCCUUUUCUCACCUGUUCUUCUCAGGCCAGAGCAACUCUAAUUCACAUGCUAGAACUUCAGAUACAACGCCGUAAAGAAGCUAUGGAGGAUAUUAAGAGGGACCCUUCUGCUAGUCUUGAUGAUGUUUUUUAGAUGAUUGGAAAUUAAAAUUUUUACUUGGUUUUGUAACAUUUUAAAACGGUGUUGUCUUGGAAAUGCCUAUUUGCUUCUGCAGCUAAAUUAAGAAUUUGUAGGUUUUUGGACAGUGAUUUUAAUUUCAAGUUUUACAAUGAUUUAUUAUAGUUGUGGUGUUGACUUGGUUACAAGUUGCAGCAUGUCAGUUGAUUUUGCUUAACUGAAAAUUGAAUCAUUCUGUACAUACAUUGAUAUCUUCAUAAGAUCAUGUGCCCCAAACCCUCUCUCAUGCAGCCACACAAAAACAGACACAUUUAUGUACAUGUUUAUGCAUAUUGGUUGUUGCCUGCCUCAUUCACUGGAGACGGCGGUAGUCAAUAUUUGAAUGGACAGACUACGAAAUAUAUUUUUUCUAGAAGGCUAUUAUUACGAUGCAUCUUUCUUCAUUUGGAAGGAAACUGUCAAACCGAAUUUUUGUGGUUUGAGAAGUUGGCUUAUGUGGUUCUUAAACACCCAAAAUAUGUGGGAUGCUAAUGAUUUUGAUAUUUUUUUUAGCCUCAAGCCAUUUCUGUUUGGAAAGGGUAAUGCAUUCCGUUCUGGCCUUCUGGCUUUCAUUGGAGUUUUAUUCAUUACAUAGAAGAGGAUAUUUACUUUCAAGUUUAUUUACUCUAUUUGUUGUUUCCUUGCUUUGGGCCGAAGAAAGCUAUACUGCUUUGACACAUGGUGGCUGGUUUGCAAAGAGUGAUGAAUGAGUGAACAAAGUUGGUUUUCUUUCCCCUUUCCUUUUGUCUAGCACUUGUAUCAAGUUAGUUUGGGUGGGGUCAAACUAACACAAAGAGUGUGGUUGGAGCUUAGUGGUGAUCUCUUUAACCGUGAUUCGAAAACCAAAAUUUCAAAUUAUUCAAGUAAUUGGAUACAUACACAUUCGGCAUUUGUAUUAUAUAUAUAUAUAUAUAUAUAUAUGUAUUCAUAGAUGGAUGACAUUUGAAUAAAUUGCUUUGUUUUGAUUUAUAUGAUUGUUUUUAGGUUAGGUUGGUAUUGCUAGCAAGAAGGCUGUAAAUGGCGGCAACAACUACGUAUCCACCUCCACCACCAUAUUACAGGCUGUACAAGGAUUACAUUCAAAACCCUAAGUCGGCUCCGGACCCUCCUCCUAUUGAAGGCACUUAUGUCCUCUUUGGUGGUAGUUACAUUGUGAGAUUCUACCUCUAUUCAAGAAAUUGUCCUUAUUUGUCUUUAGUGUUAUGAAAAGUUUCAUAUUGAAGCAAAAUUUUACUAUAUGUUUUAUUUAUUUAUUUAUUUGAAAUGUAAAAUGUUGUGAAACUUCGCAAAAUUUUACUAUAUUUUUAUUUAUUUAUUUAUUUGAAAUGUAAAAUGUUGUGAAACUUUUAUUGGAGCUGAAUUGGUUGUCAAACUAUACUUAGUUCUAAAAUGGCCUCCACACCAAUCAAUUUGGAAUUUUUGAUUAACAUACUUUUGUAUUUGAGCACCUACAGUUGACUAAAAUAUAUUUGCUUUAUGGAUGUAGACAGAUGAUGUGCUUCCGAGGUUGGAAGAACGGGGAGUCCGUUAGUUGUAUCCUAAAAGACCUAAUAUUGGUACAUUAACCAUCUCUUCACCUCUGAUAAAUGCUACCUCAUGAAAAUAUUUGUUCACCUUGCCUGCAUUGUCAUGUCUCAUGCUGUCAAAAGUUAAUUUUUAACAUUUUGCUUAACUUCUUUCUAGUUGGUUUCUUUGUUUUUGCUUAUGUUUCUUAAUUCUGUAGUAGAUUUGUACUUUUAUACAUGGUACCAUGCAAGCAUUGGUAAUUCUAUGUUUAAUUAUAAUCUUCUUUAAAUACAUUUAAAUUUUCUUUUCUUUUCUUUUUUUGGAAACAUUACGUUCUUCUAGAUCAUUAAUCUUAGAGAAAAGCUGAUCCUUACGGCAUUUUGGAGGCUUAAAAGUACUGACUCCAUCUAGGGGUUGCUUUUUGCUUGUUGCUUGAUGCAAUACUGAGUGCUUGGACUGGCAAGCGUGAGAAAGCAAGUUCAAGGUAGAGGGUUACCAUUUUGUGCAAAUAAUGUGAGAGGUUAGGUCAAUACUAGGGCCAUUACUCCUAGCACCCUCUAUUAUUGUGAACUGGCACUAGUGAAUGCAUUUUUUAAACUAAUUACUUUAUUUGAUUUUGUCAAAACGAUUUUAAGUUUUAACUGGUCUCUUUUUGGAGAUCAUGAAAGUAUAAUUUUCCAUUAAGAAAAACAUAGUAUUUGAAACUACAUUGGGGUCUGUAGUUAAAAAAUAGUUAACAUUUGGAUGCUACUAGUUUUGAUUAAAAAAAACAGUGAAUAAUUGUUCAAGAGGCUUCCAAGUGUGUUGUUCAGCGAUUCAUGUCAAGAAGCAAAAUCCAAUCAAAGAGCAUGGGAUUCUCCAUUGCCAAAUUCCUUUGUCACAUUGUCCCAAAACACUCACAACCGUUAUGCCUCAAGAUUACUAUGUCUGGAGAUUCUCACAUGAUCCAAUAAUUGUGAAUGUUUUAGGAUGGAUGGGCCCACUCAAAGAGCAGGAAAUAAUAACUUCAGUAUCAUACAUGGCAAAAGAUAGCAUACUACACAGAAAAAUGUGAACGUUUGAAAGUUGAAACAACUCCGACCUCAAAAACACAAGUUAAGUAGUUAUAGAUCUUCAAACAGGACUAACAUUCAAUCGAAACUACAAUAUCAUUUCCCAUAUACAUUUACAUCCCCAAACAACUAUACAUAUAUAUAUAUACACUCAAAUGAUUUUGCACUCCCUUCAUUUUCCAAAUCUUGUCAUUUAGCAUGUGUAAAAAUUUGUAUGUUUCUUACAUAAACUUGGUAGAACUAAGCUAAUUUAAAAGACAACAAAGAAAUGGGUUCAGUUCUACCACCUUCAACUAUUUUCUUUAAUUUUUUUUCUCCACAGAAACCAAACACAAACAACAGAUCUAUAGCUGUAUCAUAAAAACGGAUAAUGAAAUAAUCAGAUGAACCAAAAAAAAAAAUCGAGGGGAAAGAAUUGAAGACAUGAUGGAUACCUUAAAAACCGUAAGAUGGGUUUUCUAAGAAUAUAGAUGCAUCAAUCAAGAAUGGGGGUGGGAAAAUACUUCACAAAAUAAAACAUUUUCAAGAUAAACAUACAAGGUGGGAUUUGAAUUUACAUAGACUUAGUAGACCUAGGCUUCUUUAAAAGACAAUAAAAACAAUCUAAAUCCUGAAGAUGAAUACAUGGUCACAAAUGUGUUCAGUUCUUCCACCUUCAACUAUUUUCUUUCCUUUCUCUCUCAAAAAUCCCAGAAACCAAACACAAACAACAGAUCUAGAAAGUCGAUAACAUUAUAAAAAAAACAAAAAAAAAAA
Molecule: non-coding RNA, 3910 nt
Organism: Camellia sinensis
Lineage: Eukaryota; Viridiplantae; Streptophyta; Magnoliopsida; Ericales; Theaceae
Source: RefSeq, a predicted model, not a curated record